This 995-nucleotide ribosomal RNA is filed under the name uncultured bacterium. RNAcentral describes it as "bacterial SSU rRNA". It matches the Rfam family "Bacterial small subunit ribosomal RNA", at positions 355 to 1375 of the family's 1533-position model. The record is from RNAcentral.
UGGGGGAUAUUGCGCAAUGGGGGCAACCCUGACGCAGCAACGCCGCGUGAAGGAUGAAGGUUUUCGGAUUGUAAACUUCUUUUAUUAAGGACGAAAAAUGACGGUACUUAAUGAAUAAGCUCCGGCUAACUACGUGCCAGCAGCCGCGGUAAUACGUAGGGAGCAAGCGUUGUCCGGAUUUACUGGGUGUAAAGGGUGCGUAGGCGGCUUUGCAAGUCAGAUGUGAAAUCUAUGGGCUCAACCCAUAAACUGCAUUUGAAACUGUAGAGCUUGAGUGAAGUAGAGGCAGGCGGAAUUCCCCGUGUAGCGGUGAAAUGCGUAGAGAUGGGGAGGAACACCAGUGGCGAAGGCGGCCUGCUGGGCUUUAACUGACGCUGAGGCACGAAAGCGUGGGUAGCAAACAGGAUUAGAUACCCUGGUAGUCCACGCUGUAAACGAUGAUUACUAGGUGUGGGGGGUCUGACCCCUUCCGUGCCGGAGUUAACACAAUAAGUAAUCCACCUGGGGAGUACGACCGCAAGGUUGAAACUCAAAGGAAUUGACGGGGGCCCGCACAAGCAGUGGAGUAUGUGGUUUAAUUCGACGCAACGCGAAGAACCUUACCAAGUCUUGACAUCCUGUGACAGACGUAGAAAUACGUUCUUCCUUCGGGACACAGAGACAGGUGGUGCAUGGUUGUCGUCAGCUCGUGUCGUGAGAUGUUGGGUUAAGUCCCGCAACGAGCGCAACCCUUAUGGUCAGUUACUACGCAAGAGGACUCUGGCCAGACUGCCGUUGACAAAACGGAGGAAGGUGGGGAUGACGUCAAGUCAUCAUGCCCCUUAUGACCUGGGCUACACACGUACUACAAUGGCCAUUAACAGAGGGAAGCAAAACCGCGAGGCAGAGCAAACCCCUAAAAAUGGUCCCAGUUCGGAUUGUAGGCUGCAACCCGCCUACAUGAAGUUGGAAUUGCUAGUAAUCGCGGAUCAGCAUGCCGCGGUGAAUACGUUCCC